Molecule: transfer RNA, 47 nt
Filed under: Koenigia phytolaccifolia
Lineage: Eukaryota; Viridiplantae; Streptophyta; Magnoliopsida; Caryophyllales; Polygonaceae
Description: partial tRNA-Leu
Source: RNAcentral
AAAUCCGUCGACUUUAGAAAUCGGGAGGUUCAAGCCCUCUAUCCCCA